CUGCUGCCUUCCGUAGGAGUCUGGUCCGUGUCUCAGUACCAGUGUGGGGGACCUUCCUCUCAGAACCCCUACGCAUCGUCGGUUAGGUGGGCCGUUACCCCGCCUACUGCCUAAUGCGCCGCAUGCCCAUCCCUGUCCGGCCGAAGCCUUUCCUGCCUCCGGGAUGCCCCGGUGGCAUGUACGCGGGUUUAGCCCGCCUUUCGGCGGUUGUCCCCCUGACAGGGGCAGGUUGCAUACGUGUUACUCACCGUGCGCCGGUCGCCGGCGGAGAAGA
This 274-nucleotide ribosomal RNA is filed under the name uncultured bacterium. Its description in RNAcentral is "partial 16S ribosomal RNA". The record is from RNAcentral.